Molecule: ribosomal RNA, 313 nt
Filed under: Aphytis hispanicus
Lineage: Eukaryota; Metazoa; Arthropoda; Insecta; Hymenoptera; Aphelinidae
Description: eukaryotic LSU rRNA
Rfam family: Eukaryotic large subunit ribosomal RNA
Source: RNAcentral
CCAAGGAGUCUAACAUGUACGCGAGUCAUUGGGACUUGACAAAGCCUAAAGGCGUAAUGAAAGUGAAGAUCUUCCUUAGCGUUGAUCGAGGGAGGAUGGUCGGCUCUUUGGAGCCGGCUCGCACUCCCGGGGCGUCUCGUGCUCAUUACGAGCAGAGGCGCACCUAGAGCGUACACGUUGGGACCCGAAAGAUGGUGAACUAUGCCUGGUCAGGACGAAGUCAGGGGAAACCCUGAUGGAGGUCCGUAGCGAUUCUGACGUGCAAAUCGAUCGUCGGAACUGGGUAUAGGGGCGAAAGACUAAUCGAACCAUC